This 25-nucleotide non-coding RNA is filed under the name Rattus norvegicus (Norway rat). The record is from RNAcentral. Lineage: Eukaryota; Metazoa; Chordata; Mammalia; Rodentia; Muridae.
UAUGGUCUGACAGGAAAAAUCCCCC